UUCAGUAAUUCGUCCUAAGGAUCUGUAUUGGGAAAAGGACCUAAAGAAUACAUAAACAUUUAGUAGUUUGUUUUUUCUCUUUUUGUCGGUUAGGUUAUGGAGGAUUUUUACUUUCUUCUAUACAUUUUUCAGUAUUUUCCCAAUUACUAAAGUGGACAUAGAUUACAUUUAUCAAGAGAAAAAAUGCUAUAAAAGCACAAUUGCCUGACAUAGUCCUGUAUUACCUUUAUUCUAAUUUAUUCACAAUGUAGAAACUUUGGCUUUUGCUCCUAGAUAGGAAUCAACUGGCAUUUUAGAGUAGAGAAGGGUCUGGCUGCUCCUCUGCGGGUUUCUUGAUAGCCUUGCUGACUCAGGAACUCACCAGGGGCCAUCCGGCAGGGAGGAGGAGCAGAGGUGCAGGUGGAGGCACCCAGAAGAUGGAAAACAAAUCUGGGAAGGUGAAGCCACGAAACUCAGCUAAACUGUCACAGCGAAAUGCUGUCUGAAUAAGUCACAACUCAUACAGAAGACUGAACAGAGCAUUGUAAGAUAGGACACAAAACAAAAGACUUCAUCAGAGAGCUGAGAUCAUCGUGGGGUUGUGCACAGACCCAGUGCAGCAAUUCAACCGUGUUUCUGAGAGCCUGGGACCGGUUCCACCAUUCUUGGUAUGCUAUUGCCCCCUGCUGUUCAUGU
This 675-nucleotide long non-coding RNA is filed under the name Mustela putorius furo (domestic ferret). Its description in RNAcentral is "lncRNA (ENSMPUG00000028523.1)". The record is from RNAcentral. Lineage: Eukaryota; Metazoa; Chordata; Mammalia; Carnivora; Mustelidae.